AUCCGUUAAAUCGUCAACAACAACAAAAAAUCAACAGUUCUGAAUAUUCAUAAUUCUGCAACCUUUUUUGGAUCGAUCGAACGAAAUGCAACACAUGAAUGUUGAAAAGUUGAUCAGUUUGGUUCAGAAGCGAAAGAAGUUGUGGUGCCCAACGGAUCAGUGCUACAGCAAAUCAAAUGCCUGUCCAGUCCCCUUCUCUACUGCCGCCACUUUUUCUACCGGAAUUUAGGUCGACG
Anopheles moucheti is the source of this 236-nucleotide long non-coding RNA. RefSeq lists it as uncharacterized. The transcript is spliced from 3 exons. The record is from RefSeq and is a predicted model, not a curated record. Lineage: Eukaryota; Metazoa; Arthropoda; Insecta; Diptera; Culicidae.